CCUACGGGAGGCAGCAGUGGGGAAUAUUGCACAAUGGGGGAAACCCUGAUGCAGCAACGCCGCGUGAGUGAAGAAGUAUUUCGGUAUGUAAAGCUCUAUCAGCAGGGAAGAAGAUGACGGUACCUCAUUAAGAAGCCCCGGCUAACUACGUGCCAGCAGCCGCGGUAAUACGUAGGGGGCCAGCGUUCAUCGGAUUUACUGGGUGAAAAGGGAGCGCUGACGGGAGCGCAAGUCUGGAGUGAAAGCCCGGGGCCCAACCCCGGAACUGCGCUGGAAACUGGUCGGCGAGAGGACUGGAGGGGCAGGCGGAAUUCCUAGUGUAGCGGUGAAAUGCGUAGAUAUUAGGAGGAACACCAGUGGCGAAGGCGGCCUGCUGGACAGUAACUGACGUUGAGGCUCGAAAGCGUGGGGAGCAAACAGGAUUAGAUACCCGAGUAGUC
RNAcentral lists this ribosomal RNA (440 nucleotides) under uncultured bacterium. RNAcentral's name for it is "partial 16S ribosomal RNA". It matches the Rfam family "Bacterial small subunit ribosomal RNA", at positions 338 to 795 of the family's 1533-position model. The record is from RNAcentral.